AAUUUCCUACGGGAGGCAGCAGUGAGGAAUAUUGGUCAAUGGACGAGAGUCUGAACCAGCCAAGCAGCGUGAAGGAUGACUGCCCUAUGGGUUGUAAACUUCUUUUAUAUGGGAAUAAAAUGUUCCACGUGUGGGAUUUUGUAUGUACCAUAUGAAUAAGGAUCGGCUAACUCCGUGCCAGCAGCCGCGGUAAUACGGAGGAUCCGAGCGUUAUCCGGAUUUAUUGGGUUUAAAGGGCGCGUAGGAGGAUUGUUAAGUCAGUUGUGAAAGUUUGCGGCUCAACCGUAAAAUAGUAGU
RNAcentral lists this ribosomal RNA (297 nucleotides) under uncultured bacterium. RNAcentral describes it as "partial 16S ribosomal RNA". It matches the Rfam family "Bacterial small subunit ribosomal RNA", at positions 333 to 627 of the family's 1533-position model. The record is from RNAcentral.